This 75-nucleotide transfer RNA is filed under the name Candidatus Uhrbacteria bacterium RIFOXYC2_FULL_47_19. RNAcentral describes it as "tRNA-Arg". It matches the Rfam family "tRNA". From Rfam's summary of the family: Transfer RNA (tRNA) molecules are approximately 80 nucleotides in length. Their secondary structure includes four short double-helical elements and three loops (D, anti-codon, and T loops). Further hydrogen bonds mediate the characteristic L-shaped molecular structure. tRNAs have two regions of fundamental functional importance: the anti-codon, which is responsible for specific mRNA codon recognition, and the 3' end, to which the tRNAs corresponding amino acid is attached (by aminoacyl-tRNA synthetases). tRNAs cope with the degeneracy of the genetic code in two manners: having more than one tRNA (with a specific anti-codon) for a particular amino acid; and 'wobble' base-pairing, i.e. permitting non-standard base-pairing at the 3rd anti-codon position. Lineage: Bacteria; Candidatus Uhriibacteriota. The record is from RNAcentral. RNAcentral also lists the same sequence under 1 other name.
GCACUCGUAGUUCAACGGAUAGAACGUGGGCCUCCGAAGCCCAAGAUCAAGGUUCGAUUCCUUGCGGGUGCACCA